GUACACUCCUGCGGGAGGCAGCAGUGGGGAAUAUUGGACAAUGGGCGCAAGCCUGAUCCAGCCAUGCCGCGUGAGUGAUGAAGGCCCUAGGGUUGUAAAGCUCUUUCACCGGUGAAGAUAAUGACGGUAACCGGAGAAGAAGCCCCGGCUAACUUCGUGCCAGCAGCCGCGGUAAUAAGAAGGGGGCUAGCGUUGUUCGGAUUUACUGGGCGUAAAGCGCACGUAGGCGGACUAUUAAGUCAGGGGUGAAAUCCCGGGGCUCAACCCCGGAACUGCCUUUGAUACUGGUAGUCUUGAGUUCGAGAGAGGUGAGUGGAAUUCCGAGUGUAGAGGUGAAAUGCGUAGAUAUUCGGAGGAACACCAGUGGCGAAGGCGGCUCACUGGCUCGAUACUGACGCUGAGGUGCGAAAGCGUGGGGAGCAAACAGGAUUAGAAACCCCUGUAGUCC
This 448-nucleotide ribosomal RNA is filed under the name uncultured organism. Its description in RNAcentral is "partial 16S ribosomal RNA". It matches the Rfam family "Bacterial small subunit ribosomal RNA", at positions 331 to 796 of the family's 1533-position model. The record is from RNAcentral.